RNAcentral lists this ribosomal RNA (330 nucleotides) under uncultured eukaryote. Its description in RNAcentral is "partial 18S ribosomal RNA". It matches the Rfam family "Eukaryotic small subunit ribosomal RNA", at positions 1470 to 1796 of the family's 1831-position model. The record is from RNAcentral.
CCCUUAGAUGUUCUGGGCCGCACGCGCGCUACACUGACGAAGUCAGCGAGCAUCUCCUACGCCGAAAGGUGCGGGGAAUCUUGUGAAACUUUGUCGUGCUGGGGAUUGAUUUUUGAAAUCCUUGAUCAUCAACGAGGAAUUCCUAGUAAGCGCAAGUCAGCAGCUUGCGUUGAUUACGUCCCUGCCCUUUGUACACACCGCCCGUCGCUACUACCGAUUGAAUGGUUUAGUGAGAUUUUUGGACUGGAACUCUCUUGUUCAGCAAUGAACGAGAGGGACUCUGGGAAGCUAUUCUAACUGUAUCAUUUAGAGGAAGUAAAAGUCGUAACA